AGCGAACGCUGGCGGCAGGCUUAACACAUGCAAGUCGAGCGGGCACUUCGGUGUCAGCGGCAGACGGGUGAGUAACACGUGGGAACGUACCCUUUGGUUCGGAAUAACGCUGGGAAACUAGCGCUAAUACCGGAUACGCCCUUUUGGGGAAAGGCUUGCUGCCGAAGGAUCGGCCCGCGUCUGAUUAGCUAGUUGGUGGGGUAAUGGCCUACCAAGGCGACGAUCAGUAGCUGGUCUGAGAGGAUGAUCAGCCACACUGGGACUGAGACACGGCCCAGACUCUUACGGGAGGCAGCAGUGGGGAAUAUUGGAAAAUGGGCGCAAGCCUGAUCCAGCCAUGCCGCGUGAGUGAUGAAGGCCUUAGGGUUGUAAAGCUCUUUUGUCCGGGACGAUAAUGACGGUACCGGAAGAAUAAGCCCCGGCUAACUUCGUG
Molecule: ribosomal RNA, 433 nt
Filed under: uncultured bacterium
Lineage: Bacteria
Description: partial 16S ribosomal RNA
Rfam family: Bacterial small subunit ribosomal RNA
Source: RNAcentral